Molecule: ribosomal RNA, 642 nt
Filed under: uncultured bacterium
Lineage: Bacteria
Description: bacterial SSU rRNA
Rfam family: Bacterial small subunit ribosomal RNA
Source: RNAcentral
CGGAGAGUUUGAUCCUGGCUCAGAUUGAACGCUAGCGGAAUGCCUUACACAUGCAAGUCGAACGGCAGCACGGACUUCGGUCUGGUGGCGAGUGGCGAACGGGUGAGUAAUGUAUCGGAACGUACCCAGUAGCGGGGGAUAACUACUCGAAAGAGUAGCUAAUACCGCAUACGCCCUUCGGGGGAAAGGGGGGGAUCUUCGGACCUCCCACUAUUGGAGCGGCUGAUAUCGGAUUAGCUAGUUGGUGAGGUAAAGGCUCACCAAGGCGACGAUCCGUAGCUGGUUUGAGAGGACGACCAGCCACACUGGAACUGAGACACGGUCCAGACUCCUACGGGAGGCAGCAGUGGGGAAUUUUGGACAAUGGGGGAGACCCUGAUCCAGCCAUUCCGCGUGUGUGAAGAAGGCCUUCGGGUUGUAAAGCACUUUUGGCGGGAAAGAAACGGCGUCGACUAAUACUCGGCGUAACUGACGGUACCCGCAGAAUAAGCACCGGCUAACUACGUGCCAGCAGCCGCGGUAAUACGUAGGGUGCAAGCGUUAAUCGGAAUUACUGGGCGUAAAGCGUGCGCACGCGGUUCGGAAAGAAAGAUGUGAAAUCCCAGGGCUCAACCUUGGAACUGCAUUUUUAACUACCGGGCU